RNAcentral lists this ribosomal RNA (253 nucleotides) under uncultured bacterium. RNAcentral describes it as "partial 16S ribosomal RNA". It matches the Rfam family "Bacterial small subunit ribosomal RNA", at positions 524 to 776 of the family's 1533-position model. The record is from RNAcentral.
UACGUAGGGGGCAAGCGUUGUCCGGAAUCAUUGGGCGUAAAGAGCGUGUAGGCGGCUCGAUAAGUCUGCUGUGAAAGUCCAGGGCUCAACCCUGGAAGGCCGGUGGAAACUGUCGGGCUAGAGUCCGGAAGAGGCGAGUGGAAUUCCCGGCGUAGCGGUGAAAUGCGCAGAUAUCGGGAGGAACACCAAUGGCGAAGGCAGCUCGCUGGGACGGUACUGACGCUGAGACGCGAAAGCGUGGGGAGCAAACAGG